AUUGAACGCUAGCGGGAUGCUUUACACAUGCAAGUCGAACGGCAGCGCGGACUUCGGUCUGGCGGCGAGUGGCGAACGGGUGAGUAAUGUAUCGGAACGUGCCCAGUAGCGGGGGAUAACUACGCGAAAGCGUAGCUAAUACCGCAUACGCCCUACGGGGGAAGGCAGGGGAUCGUAAGACCUUGCACUAUUGGAGCGGCCGAUAUCGGAUUAGCUAGUUGGUGAGGUAACGGCUCACCAAGGCGACGAUCCGUAGCUGGUUUGAGAGGACGACCAGCCACACGGGGACGUGGCAACGGCCCAAACCCCCAGGGGAGGCCGCAGGGGGGAAUUUUGGAAAAGGGGGGAAACCCUAAUCCAGCCACCCCGGGGGUGGGAUGAAGGCCUCCGGGUUUUAAAGCCAUUUUGGCAGGAAAAAAACGUCGCGGGCAAAGCCCCCGGGGAACGGACGGAACCUGCAGAAAAAGCACGGGCAACCUACUG
This 483-nucleotide ribosomal RNA is filed under the name uncultured bacterium. RNAcentral describes it as "partial 16S ribosomal RNA". It matches the Rfam family "Bacterial small subunit ribosomal RNA", at positions 29 to 506 of the family's 1533-position model. The record is from RNAcentral.